CCAAAUAUCGGUUUGCUUUGAAACUUUCCGCCAAACUAGCCUUGGCAUUCUAUUUCACGUAUUCUAGUUGGAAUUUCCAAAAAAACCCAAAAUUGGUGUAGAUUCGAAUCAAAAUCACGGUCUCUUUUCCUCUCUACUGGUCUAAGGCCACUACCUCCGGGUAUGUUGUUCACGUUUUCCUUAGUUGGCGCCUCACCAAUUUUGAAGCCCCAAAACAAGCUAGAUCGA
RNAcentral lists this long non-coding RNA (228 nucleotides) under Durio zibethinus. RNAcentral's name for it is "long non-coding RNA (DZIB_LNC000407)". Lineage: Eukaryota; Viridiplantae; Streptophyta; Magnoliopsida; Malvales; Malvaceae. The record is from RNAcentral.